Molecule: transfer RNA, 76 nt
Filed under: Burkholderiales bacterium
Lineage: Bacteria; Pseudomonadati; Pseudomonadota; Betaproteobacteria; Burkholderiales
Also listed under: 3 other names
Description: tRNA-Thr
Rfam family: tRNA
About the family: Transfer RNA (tRNA) molecules are approximately 80 nucleotides in length. Their secondary structure includes four short double-helical elements and three loops (D, anti-codon, and T loops).
Source: RNAcentral
GCCGCCUUAGCUCAGUUGGUAGAGCACCUGACUUGUAAUCAGGGGGUCGUCAGUUCGAAUCCGACAGGCGGCACCA